This 253-nucleotide ribosomal RNA is filed under the name uncultured bacterium. RNAcentral's name for it is "partial 16S ribosomal RNA". It matches the Rfam family "Bacterial small subunit ribosomal RNA", at positions 524 to 776 of the family's 1533-position model. The record is from RNAcentral.
UACGUAGGGUGCGAGCGUUAAUCGGAAUUACUGGGCGUAAAGCGUGCGCAGGCGGCGCGUUAAGACAGGUGUGAAAGCCCCGAGCUUAACUUGGGAAUUGCGCUUGUGACUGGCGUGCUGGAGUGUGGCAGAGGGAGGUGGAAUUCCUGGUGUAGCGGUGAAAUGCGUAGAUAUCAGGAGGAAUACCGGUGGCGAAAGCGACUCUCUGGACGGUAACUGACGCUGAGGCACGAAAGCGUGGGGAGCAAACAGG